UUGCCUACGGGAGGCAGCAGUAGGGAAUCUUCCACAAUGGGGGAAACCCUGAUGCAGCGACGCCGCGUGAGUGAGGAAGUAUUUCGGUAUGUAAAGCUCUAUCAGCGGGGAAGAAAAUGACGGUACCUGACUAAGAAGCCCCGGCUAACUACGUGCCAGCAGCCGCGGUAAUACGUAGGGGGCAAGCGUUAUCCGGAUUUACUGGGGGUAAAGGGAGCGUAGACGGCCAGACAAGUCAGAAGUGAAAGCCCAGGG
Molecule: ribosomal RNA, 255 nt
Filed under: uncultured bacterium
Lineage: Bacteria
Description: partial 16S ribosomal RNA
Rfam family: Bacterial small subunit ribosomal RNA
Source: RNAcentral